Beta vulgaris subsp. vulgaris (sugar beet) is the source of this 5974-nucleotide long non-coding RNA. RefSeq lists it as uncharacterized. Lineage: Eukaryota; Viridiplantae; Streptophyta; Magnoliopsida; Caryophyllales; Amaranthaceae. The transcript is spliced from 2 exons. The record is from RefSeq and is a predicted model, not a curated record.
UGGUUUGCUUCCUCUUAGUUGGUUUUAGGUUGUAUUGUUUGCUCUAAUUAAUAUAAUUACUUGCUUAGCUAGCAAAAAAAAAAAAAAGUCGGUUGGUCACAUGCUUUUAUCAUGACAUUAGCUACAUCAAUCACUGGACAUACGGGUCAUAAGUCGGUUUUUUAAAAUUUAUUUUUAAUACACGAUAUGAUUAUAAAAACUUGAAAUCAAUAACUACUAUUUAGAUCAUGAUUUUAGGAGAAACAUUCUAAAAUCUUAAAUUUAUAAACAAAGUACUCCCCCGCAUUUUAAUGUGUUUUUUGUUUCAUUUACGUAUUUAUAAAUGUAUAUAUCACGAUUAUAAGAUUUUUAAAGUUUAAAAUGUUGUAACAAAGAAUUUUUAUAUAUAUUAAAUAGUAUAAUUUUAUAUUUUAUAUUCUUUUAAUCUUAAAUAGAUGGUAUCUAACAAUUACGGAUUUAAUAUAUUUCGAAUAAAAACAACUACUUAAUAUACAAAAUAAUUAUCGUACAUUAUACACGCUAAAUCAAUUCUACAUAAAACUUCCCGUGCAUUUUUGCACGGGUGGAAAGCUAGUAUACGGAUAUACUUUGGAUCCCUUGUAAAACAACAAAGAUAUCUAGUAUAUCCCGGAUAAGAACAACCAAGAUUAGGGUUUACAGAUCUUUCUUAAUAUCCAUCACAUGUUCUACCAGUCCACCGCCUCCCUAAAUUUUCGUUAACAACUAUGCAAAUUAGGGUUUUCUAAUCUCAACCCUCAACUUUAUAUACAGCAUCACCUAACCCCUUUCUUCCUCAUCCUAAAACCCUCUUCUCUCUCUCUCUUCCUCUCAUCAAAAUAAAAAAUAAAAAAGCUCUGAAGCAAUGGCAAGAUGUUCAAUUGUUGGGUAUAAUUGUCUAGCAACGUUCCCAUUCUAUCAUCGAUACAUAUCGUUACUCGUCUGAGGAACUUUGCUUGACAAUUUUAUCCAACUAUUUAACAUACUGCAAUCAUCUAUUAUUCCACUAGUUUAUGAUUUCAAAGUUGCCGUCACAUCUAUUUCGAAUCUGCAAAGAUUGGAUAUUCGAUUAUUGCAUUUGAUAAGAUUGGUAUAAUUAUUCAAUUAUUCAUCUAUUCGUAACGUUUGUGUUUCUUUUCAGGUGGAUUGUAAUUUCAAUACAAUUAAUCUAAUAAUCUUACCCUGUUGAUCUGAUAAGAUGAGUUAUUUGCAGAUCAUAUUGAUAGAUCUGGAGUGGUCAAUUUAACUUGUAUAUUGACAGAAGUUAGGCAAAUGAUCGUGAGCUUUAUGGAUUUAAUUUAAAAUCUUGAUUCAAUUGAGAUUUCUAUUUGAUCAGUUAUUUACAGAGUGGAAGUGAAGUUUCUAAUCACAGUUUAAUUAUACUAUAAGACAGCUGAUUAGGUGGAUGCAGAUUAAUUUAAUUGAUACUUGACAGGAUUGAAGUGGAUAACUGUAUAUGAUAUACCAGAUCUGUCACUGUGUAUAUUUGACGCAAUGCACACGGGUUGGAUUUCUGUUUACGGGAAAAUUGUAUACGGCAUUUCUGUACUAUCGACUUUUUCUUCCUAUGUGUAAUGUGUAUGGUACUAUUUCAAAUACUUAUGUUAAGCCUUGUUUUGAAUUGAACGAGAAAGGUUUGGUAACCAACGGUUUGAGUCCAAAAAAACUCAAAACACCCAAAAUAAAACAUAAUGGUACCAUUAUAACUUGACAUUUGUAUCAAAUUGUUAUCAGGAUUGGUACCAGGGUAUCAAUAUUUUCGGAGAAUGGUACCAUUAUAACCUAGUAUUGGUAAUGGGUUGGUUUGGGUUGGGUCGGACAUGCUGUAUAUGAAUCGGGUCGGGUCGGUCGGAAGUUGUUAUAAUGGGUCAGGUCGGGUUAGACCAUGACCCUAUUUUAAAGUUAGAACUUAGAAUGAAUAUCGAUUUUUGUCAAAAUCUCACUAUAAUCUCAGCCAUUCUUGGCUGUUAAGGGUCCCCAUAUAACUAUGUUUUUCUAUUUUGAUAAACAAAAUGUAUAGCUUGCUUCUUUCAUAUUAUAAUGCCCAUUAACAUGUGAAUUAAUUGAGGUGGAGCAACUUUUCUCCCAACCAUACACUUCGGGUUUCGAUUCUCAAGUCACCAAUCCCCAAGUUGGGAUCUUUUUGCAAAAUUCCCCUCCUGACUGAAACUCCUACUUAUGUGUGUAUAUGAUAAAUCUUUUUGGAUUGGGUUCCCUUAUUUGUUAAGAGUUUGUGUCAAUUGCUGCCAAUCGAUUUCCAUCUAAAAUUUUUACUUAUUAUAAUUUGAUGUUGUAUGCUAUGCAUUGUGCAGUCGCAACGUUGCAGAUUUGCAGUCCAUGAAGCACAAAUUGGUUGAUCCUAAGAAGCAUAAAUGACCUUUUUUUACCCGACUCGACCCGCUAAUACGUUAUUAGGGUCAAGACCCUCUAUGACCCGAUCCUAUUUUAAUUGGGUCGGGUCAUGACCCUAUAAUAUAGGGUCGGGUCAAGGGCUUUUUUUGGGUACCCGACCUAUUGAACAGGUCUAAUGAGCAGUCAUCACGUCCAUUGAAUUUCCCCUCCAAAAAUGGGCAGUCUGCUUUCGACCGGUUUGACCGUCACAGGCCCCCUACUUAUGAUGGUGUUGCUGAUCCUGUAGCUUUAGAAAACUGGUUAAGGGAGAUGGAGAAGCUAUUCACGGCAACAAACUGCUCUGCUGCCGAAAUGGUACCGAUUGGGACGUACUAUUUGAAGAAAGAGGCGGAUAAUUGGUGGAGUACGGUGAAGGAUGUGUGUGGCUACAGCUGGAUUUGGUUGGACUCAGUUCUCCGCCAAGCUGAAAGAGAGAUUUUACCCUGAUGAGUUGCGCUGGCGAAAGCAGGAAGAAUUUCUAUCUCUGACUCAAGGGAGUAUGGACAUCCAGAAGUACACCGACCGCUUUACGGAGCUGUCUAAAUUUGCUGGUAUUGUCAUUCCCACCGAAGCUGAGAGGGUUAAGAGGUAUAUAAAGAAGAUGAAUUCGAGGGUAAGGACCUUGGUGCUGUGUUCGGGGGAUACUACUUUUCAAGCUGCUUAUGAGAUGACCCUUAGUGUUCAUGCUUCAGUGAGUUAAUUGUUAAAAUUAUCACAUUUUAUCACUCCUCAAAAGAAUAGGGCCUUAGUGACUUUCUUAGGCCAUUUACAAUAUGGACCAAAUAUUUCCACCAAACUUUAUGGCCCAAAUAUCUGGUGCACAUUUUGAUAGAUGAAUUCACUGACAAAAGAAAUUUGUUAAUGUUUUCUUUGGCAUAAAACAACUGAAUUAAUAGUAGUGAUAAUAAUACUUCCUCUGUCCCGAAAUAUAGUUUCCAUUUCUAUUUUGGGUGUCCUAAAAUAUAAUUUUUAUUUUCAUAUUUAGUUUCACAUUUUUCCGUAUCUUGUCUGGAAAACCGUAUUAUUCUCCCUUCUCUCUCCUAAAAUUAUCUUUUCCAUACAACAUUUAUUUAAAUAAACAAAAAAUCUUUACUAUCCUUCUUAGAUUCUACUUGCAUAGAUUAAUACCGUGAAAAAUGGGAACUAUAUUUUGGGACAGAGAAAGUAUAAUAUAAUACUAUUUAAUUUUAAUAAUGAUUUAUUAAUAAUAAUAAGUUAUUAAAUAAAAUAAUAAUAAAUUAUUGUGAGAUAGAUGGAGUAGUCCGUAAUAAACAGAUAAACUAAUAACUUGACGAACAAAAUUAGAAUAUCGAAAUAUAUAUUAUAUUUUAUCACCCAACGGCCAACGCUUAAAAAGAAUGUUACAAAUUUAAUAGGAUGUGUACAUUAUUUUUAACAAUUUUUUGUUCAAAAAAAAAAUAAAUAUUAACUACAUACUUGCAAUGCUAAAGCUAAAUUAAAUACUUAUAACUUUUAGAUUUUGCGCAUUUCACCACAACAUGUUCUUUAAAUUAAAUAUUAUCUCUCUUCCUCAUUUUUUUUCAAUAAAGAGCGUCAAGCGGCAUUAUAGUUUCUUCAUCCCCAACCAAGGUAAUAGUUUGCUCCCUCCAAUUUCACGUCUUGAAAAUUUCGAUGUUUUUUUACUAUAAUUUUCCAAAUAGUUCAAAAACUUUCCUUUUUUUAAAAAAACCUUUUUUCUUUGUCGUUGAUCGGUUGUUUUGAUAUUAUUAGAUUUUUGAUUUUUCUACAAUCAUGCGUCUUUACGCUUUAUUUUAGUUUAGAUUUUGGACUCGGAAAAAUAAUCCUAAUCAAAUAAGUAUUAGGUUAUUUUUUUUUCUUUCACCAAAAAUAUAAAUAGACACACGUUAUUUUCAACCUACACAUUAGCACACGUCCCUUUAUCGAAUCAAGGUAUACCACCGUCUCGUUAUUUUUUCUUGGACAUUAUUUUCUUGUGUUGAUACUCUGAUCACAAAUAAGUACAUGCACCCAAGUGCAUGUAGAGCAUGAUGCACCCUUUUUUAAACUACGUCGUUUUAUCAUUUUUAGAGUCUGUAAUUUUAAAAAUUAUUGUUAUUUGUUUCCUUAAAUUUUGCAACUAAAGAUUCUUUUUUCAAAUUUAAAUUUAAAGGGUAUAUGUUCUUUUACCUUUAGUGUAGAUGUUCAUUUACUAUAUGUUCUUUUCAUUAUAACCUUUGUUCUUUUAUAAAUAUAAAUUUACACAUUCUUUAAUUUUAACUCGUGUGUUCUUUUUUAAAGUAAAAAAAUUAUUGAAAAAAGUUCGUGUUCUUUUAUAUAAAUGAUAUGUUCUUUUUGGGUGCACAAUGAGCAUUGUGCACCCUGGUGCAUGAUCCACGCUUUGCUAUCUGAUAGUGAUGAAGUGUCGAUUAUUUUUUUUGAUUUGCCGAUGAUGUUUAUGUGGGUUUUAUGGCUGGGUAAAAGUAAUAUGUAUAUUCGAAUGAUUGUUUUCAUCUCGCCAUACUCAUGAUCUCCAUUCUCCUGUACCUUUUGAUGCUUCUGCCUUCAUCGUCAUCGUCAUCAUCAUCAUCCCUUCCAGAUGUAGUUUCCUCCUCCUCAUCAUCAUCAUUAUUUUUUUCUUCGGUGGAUUUUCAUCCACUUUUUCAUCAGCUUCCUCUAUUUUACGGGGUCUAAUUUUUUGGUUUAUGAUUUUUGGUUGGGUUUAAGGAUUUUAAAGAGAGAGAAAGAAAGGAGGUUAGGAAGAUGGCUGGUGUUUUUGUUUCAUCAGUUUCCUAUCAAUGACAACCACACUCUUUCUCUUCCCUUCUCUUAAUUCCCACAACAACCACUUCACUUUUUAACACAAACCCUCUCCCAAAUUAAAGCUUCAAUCUUUCUCUCUAUCUUCUCAAAAAAAUCCAAUUUUUCCAACUUUAACACCCCAUUUACUUCUUUCUCCACAUCUCACUCAUCUGACCAUCCUUCAUCUUCAAUUGACUAUAAUACCCAAAACCCACCAAGAAUUGGGUGUUUUUUUAACCAAUCGAGAACUCCAAAAGCUUGAAUUCGUUGAGAAUUUCACUUAUUCUUGUAUUAGGGUAAUUGAAUAAUCUGUUUAUUCCAUGGCGGGACUUUCUUUUUCGACUCGAAUUCGGACUCGACCUGUUGUUCUUCUUCCAUUGUUUUCCUCUGUAUAUCUCUCCCUGCAAUCCUUCCCCCAUGAAUUUUUGGAUACAUAAAGCUUAUGAUGGGGAAUAUUUUUUUCUAUAGUGGAAACUUAAGCUGUACUUUCUUGGUUUUCUGGGUGAUCCUGAUCAAAUUUGCUCGACAAUUCUCAUGCUUUUAUUUUGUUAUGAAAAUUUAUAGUGAAAUGAUUGUCAUUUCUCGUCUUUUUUUUACUAUCUGGGUAUUUGAGUAUUAGGGUAAUGAUGGACUUUGAAUUGGAUAUAACUAUUGAGUGUUGAAUGCUUAUUCGAUUUUGAUUUCAUGAAAAUGUUAGUAACGUUUAUGAUUUUGUGGAUUUGGAACUUGGGUGUGAAGGAGUUUAUAGUGUGCAAUUUGGUAGAAAUUUGGUUACUGUGUAUGUAGCUAUAUUAUAUCUAUUUUAUAUAUUUUUGUUUGGUGUGAA